AUGUUUUUAAAUGUCUAUCUAAUGAUGAAUUAGAUAUUAAAGAAAGCAUGGGGACCCUCGCGUGGCCUCAUAGUUGAUCUCUUACUUCCCACACAGGAGUUGCAGCACUGCACAGAGACAGAGAAGUUGGACCUGAACUAGCCUGAAAGAUAGGGCGGGAAACUUACUAAAACAUUACGUCAGAACUCAUGGACCCCAGCUAUGACACAGGGACAGCGCCUCUGCCCUGGGACUUCGUAGCGUGUGAUGGAUGACCUCCACUUAGACAAACCAAAACAGGCACGCUCAAAGGCCAGGCCGGUGCAAAAGCUGUUCAUUUUACAAACGUAGGGAUGGAUUCCAGGGCAUCCUACAAAAAAGUGUUCAGCUACCGAGCUAUAGACACCCUCAGCCUCCUGAGUGUUUACACUGAGACUCCUCUGCACUCCAUCGCUUCUUUCAACCCAGCAAUGGCAAGUGUUGGCAGUGAUGAUGACGUUUCUGCUCUCAUUCUACUGUCAUCUGGAUCCAUGUCCAGGACCCCAGUCAAUGGCUGUCACUCCAAGAUGGCCCCCAGCUCAGAGUGCACCUUUGGGUUGGGAAGUCCUGAGAAGAGACAAGGGAAUUGCUGGAAACAGCAGGUUCUUUCUCUGUUGGUUUCAUCUAACACUCAGCCGCAUGCAUCUGCCCAAGUCUCAGCCCCAGCGCGACGCACUCUUUCAUCUCAACUCUUCGGGAAAUGCUGAGUCCCCACUGCAGGCUUAGGAAAACAUAACUGUGUCUGUUCAGGUGCAGUCAGCUUCAGCAAACUUAUUCUGUCGUGUCAGGUACCUCAGAAGAUGUUUGCCCUUGUGUUUACAGAUGGGAUCAGGCUGGUGUUAAAUGAGUCACACGGCCCCACCCAAUCAACUUUGCUCCAGAUAUUCGAGCAACCAGUUGAACUCCUUAGCAUAGUGAGAGUCUACACACAGUCUUAUUCCAAAACUAAACAUCUAGGGACCCCAGCUUUGACGGCUACAACUUAAUUUCCCUGAAUAAACAGAA
Long non-coding RNA from Mus caroli (Ryukyu mouse), 1023 nucleotides. RefSeq lists it as uncharacterized. The record is from RefSeq and is a predicted model, not a curated record. NCBI's taxonomy places the organism in Eukaryota, Metazoa, Chordata, Mammalia, Rodentia, Muridae.